This 468-nucleotide ribosomal RNA is filed under the name uncultured bacterium. RNAcentral's name for it is "partial 16S ribosomal RNA". It matches the Rfam family "Bacterial small subunit ribosomal RNA", at positions 28 to 507 of the family's 1533-position model. The record is from RNAcentral.
GACGAACGCUGGCGGCGUGCUUAACACAUGCAAGUCGAACGGAAAGGCCCUGCUUUUGUGGGGUGCUCGAGUGGCGAACGGGUGAGUAACACGUGAGUAACCUGCCCUUGACUUUGGGAUAACUUCAGGAAACUGGGGCUAAUACCGGAUAGGAGCUCCUGCUGCAUGGUGGGGGUUGGAAAGUUUCGGCGGUUGGGGAUGGACUCGCGGCUUAUCAGCUUGUUGGUGGGGUAGUGGCUUACCAAGGCUUUGACGGGUAGCCGGCCUGAGAGGGUGACCGGCCACAUUGGUACUGAGAUACGGCCCAGACUCCUACGUGAGGCAGAAGUGGGGAAUAUUGCACAAUGGGCGGAAGCCUGAUGCAGCAACGCCGCGUGCGGGAUGACGUCCUUCGGGUUGUAAACCGCUUUCGCCUGUGACGCAGCGUUAGUGACGGUAAUGGGUAAAGAAGCACCGGCUAACUACGUG